Molecule: ribosomal RNA, 497 nt
Filed under: uncultured bacterium
Lineage: Bacteria
Description: partial 16S ribosomal RNA
Rfam family: Bacterial small subunit ribosomal RNA
Source: RNAcentral
GACGAACGCUGGCGGCGUGCCUAAUACAUGCAAGUUGAGCGCUGAAGGUUGGUACUUGUACCAACUGGGUGAGCAGCGCACGGGUGAGUAACGCGUGGGGAAUCUGCCUUUGAGCGGGGGACAACAUUUGGAAACGAAUGCUAAUACCGCAUAAAAACUUUAAACACAAGUUUGAAGUUUGAAAGAUGCAAUUGCAUCACUCAAAGAUGAUCCCGCGUUGUAUUAGCUAGUUGGUGAGGUAAAGGCGCACCAAGGCGAUGAUACAUAGCCGACCUGAGAGGAUGGUCGGCCGCCCUGGGACUGUGACACGGCCCAAACGCCUUCGGGAGGCAGCAGUAGGGAAUCUUCGGCAAUGGACGAAAGUCUGACCGAGCAACGCCGCGUGAGUGUAGAAGGUUUUCGGGUCGUAAAACUCUGUUUGUAGGGAAGAACGUUGGUGAGAGUGGAAAGCUCAUCAAGUGACGGUAACUACUCAGAAAGGGACGGCUAACUACGUG